This 466-nucleotide ribosomal RNA is filed under the name uncultured bacterium. Its description in RNAcentral is "partial 16S ribosomal RNA". It matches the Rfam family "Bacterial small subunit ribosomal RNA", at positions 28 to 507 of the family's 1533-position model. The record is from RNAcentral.
GACGAACGCUGGCGGCGUGCUUAACACAUGCAAGUCGAACGGUAAGGCUCCAGCUUGCUGGGGUACACGAGUGGCGAACGGGUGAGUAACACGUGGGUGACCUGCCCUGCACUUCGGGAUAAGCCUGGGAAACUGGGUCUAAUACCGGAUAGGACCAUGGUGUGGAUACUGUGGUGGAAAGUUUUUUCGGUGUGGGAUGGGCCCGCGGCCUAUCAGCUUGUUGGUGGGGUAAUGGCCUACCAAGGCGGCGACGGGUAGCCGGCCUGAGAGGGUGGACGGCCACAUUGGGACUGAGACACGGCCCAGACUCCUACGGGAGGCAGCAGUGGGGAAUAUUGCACAAUGGGCGGAAGCCUGAUGCAGCGACGCCGCGUGGGGGAUGACGGCCUUCGGGUUGUAAACUCCUUUCACCAUCGACGAAGGGUUCCUGACGGUAGAUGGAGAAGAAGCACCGGCUAACUACGUG